Molecule: non-coding RNA, 29 nt
Filed under: Homo sapiens (human)
Lineage: Eukaryota; Metazoa; Chordata; Mammalia; Primates; Hominidae
Source: RNAcentral
UGUUGGCUGAUUGGGGUAUUGUCAAUGGG